GCUUGCUUCUCUGCCAUUUUGCCUUCAAACCGAGCUUUUUUUGAACUAAACGAUCAAUCCUCAAAUCUGGAGUUCUUCUUGGUGUAAUCUUAAAUCCAUCACAAACUCUUUAAAUAGACAUCGAUUCCAAUCACCAGAACCUAUUAUUCAUCACCGGACUUCCAUUUAUCAAUAACAACAACGAACCCUAGAAAUUCCCUCUUCUCUGUUCAUCAAUUACAUCUCCAAUUACUUCUCAAACCCUAACUGCAAUCUCGAAUUCAAACUAAACCCAUGUCUUACAGCCACAUGAACUCUUAGAUUCAUUCUUAAUCUUCUCUGAUUCCACUCAAUAAUCCAUGGCAGUGACAUCUAAACCCAUCUACGGUUCAUCAGUAAAUACUGUGUGAUGUCGAAGAAGAAGAAGCUAAAGGACUGAAGAAGAAGUUGAAGAACGGCGAGAAAAAACAGACAGUAGUCUGGAUCAAAAAAUGUUAUCCAGACAAUAGUUAGGAUCAAAAAUAUUUCGGAUGUACAUGUGUAUAUGGCAUGUAAGUUUACUACAUUUAUCCUUCACACAGUAUUACUGAUAGAGGCAGGGGAAUUCACUCGAAUAGAGGUCCAUUCCAGACUCUAACAAAUUGCGUUUAAAGCUUGCUUUUUGAGGGGGAUGAGAUUCAGGUCAUGCAGGAAAUGGUUGCAGGUGCAAAGAGUAGCAUAACAAAUAGUGGGUGUGAUUUUAGGUGUUAUUUUUUUUUUAAUCAUGUAGUACUCUCGGUCUUGAAUCAACAUCAAAAACUGAGAAUUGUAGAAUUUUGGUGUUUUCCCUUUCAAACAUUUUAGAAAAGACCAGAUGGAGAAUGGAAAAAUAGUUGAUUCCGUAAGAAGGUUCAGAAAACUAUAUUUCCCUACAAGUAGGUUUAGUGGGAUUCUUUUGCAUCCACUAAAUUUGAUCUGAUUUCUAUAUUGUAUUUUUUAUGUAUAAACAACUGUAUUUCUUGAGCAGACUACACUAUGUUGGUAAGUGUAUAUGAAUUCCAGCGAGUGCGAUUUUUCUCUCCCUGUUA
Long non-coding RNA from Papaver somniferum (opium poppy), 1046 nucleotides. RefSeq lists it as uncharacterized. The record is from RefSeq and is a predicted model, not a curated record. The transcript has 4 exons. NCBI's taxonomy places the organism in Eukaryota, Viridiplantae, Streptophyta, Magnoliopsida, Ranunculales, Papaveraceae.